UCUCUUGAGUUGGACAAAUGGCAG
RNAcentral lists this unclassified non-coding RNA (24 nucleotides) under synthetic construct. RNAcentral describes it as "RNA (5'-R(P*UP*CP*UP*CP*UP*UP*GP*AP*GP*UP*UP*GP*GP*AP*CP*AP*AP*AP*UP*GP*GP*CP*AP... from synthetic construct (PDB 7KX9, chain B)". The record is from RNAcentral.